RNAcentral lists this ribosomal RNA (322 nucleotides) under uncultured eukaryote. Its description in RNAcentral is "partial 18S ribosomal RNA". It matches the Rfam family "Eukaryotic small subunit ribosomal RNA", at positions 1470 to 1796 of the family's 1831-position model. The record is from RNAcentral.
CCCUUAGAAGUUCUGGGCCGCACGCGUGCUACACUGAGUGGAUCAGCGGGUCAGGUUGCGCGAAAGUGUUUCCUAAUCUUGAAAUCCGCUCGUGAUGGGGAUUGACGGUUGCAAUUUUCCGUCAUGAACGAGGAAUACCUUGUAAGCGCGGGUCAUCAUCCCGCGCUGAAUACGUCCCUGCCCUUUGUACACACCGCCCGUCGCUCCUACCGAUUGAGUGGUCCGGUGAGGCUUUGGGAUCUGAGCGGAAAGAGCGUUUCGCUGUUUCUGCUCGGAAAACUCAGUCGAACCUUAUCAUUUAGAGGAAGGAGAAGUCGUAACA